Molecule: long non-coding RNA, 19905 nt
Filed under: Triticum aestivum (bread wheat)
Lineage: Eukaryota; Viridiplantae; Streptophyta; Magnoliopsida; Poales; Poaceae
Description: long non-coding RNA (TAES_LNC010364)
Source: RNAcentral
UAGCAAAAACCUAUUUUUAUAUUAUAUUUAGAUCAUAAUGCAUAGAUACUGAUUGCAUGUUUGUACUAAUUUAUCCCUUUCUAUUUACUGGAUUCGGAAAAAAUGAUGCUAUAUCUGUUCAUGCAUACCACCUAUUGUUAAAUUGUUUACUAGAAAAGACACAGAUCUAUAGAGAGCUCAACAACCUAUCGCAUGCCUUACGUCGGGCUGAACCACCAAGUGUGUGUCGCCUGCGUCCGGCUCGACAACAAGACCGACAACCUUGACAAGGUCGGCUUCGCCACCGACGACCUCAAGGAUGCCGAGCCGAGCGUAUGUUACGCCGCUCCCUUCUCAUUUUCAUACUACAUACCUACCAGAGAAGAUGGCGAAGAUCAUUUGGUGAAGAACGCUUUGAGAACCACUGCGAUGGAUGAUGGACCCGCGCCAGUGUACGAUCACCAUAUUGGUCUUGGCGGCCAGUUCCACUAGGAGAACCACUAGCCAGCACAAUUGGAUAUUGGAGAACCACUAACCAGGGUGUUUGGAUAUUGGAGAACCAGACACACUUUAUGUGCAUCGAUAUGGAUCCUCUCAGCAUCGUCGUCCAUGUCUACAAUGGUACAUCUCAUAGCCCCCGGUCACACCUUCUCUGAAACACAAUAGUGCAUUAUGAAGGUAAUCAGAUUGAUGCGUGAAAUAUAGGAACAACUUACUGUACCUGGAGAGAUCAAGUUAUAGAUUGUGUUUCUAUAGUGGCAUCAUUAGUUACUUACCGGGUUCCUGCAAAUUUGUUUGUGGCACAACCCAUCAGUAUGUGGAGCAAAAAGAAGUAGCAAACGGGCCACUAUGGUCUAGAUAGGAAGGUCAGCAUUCUUGAAUGGAAGUAAAAAAAAACUAUUGUAAGACUGAGAUGCUUAAUGUUUGUUGUCAUCCAUUAGCAGAUCAGGUGUGGUUAGAAAAUAUUUUAAAUCUUCCACACUUCUGCUAUUUCUAGACGUCCUUGAUUAAUUCCAAUCUGUUAAUGCAUAAAGCUUUAGCCCCUUGGGACAUAAUAUAUGUCAUUUCGUACAAUUUAGGCAAUAGAAUAUUCGCUUAGAACAAAGAUUGAUCAGGUAAUCUCAUCAUUUUUUAAUAUGAUGUGACAACAUGCUUGAAAUCCUGAAACUUCAGUGUCCCAUCUUCAGUCUGUAAAGUCAAUUUUGUGUGUUCUAUAACAGAUGAUUGUGUGUCUUCAACUUUUCAGGCAACAGUGUUACGUUUGACGACAGUCUUAUAUUCUGGGAUGGAGAACUUUAACGACAAGUUUGCUGAAAGGUUUAUGCCUGAUUACCGAGGUAGGUACUCGACCGUAACACUGUAGGUAUAUAUCUCUAUUUUCUUGCGUGUAGUGAUGGAUACUCCAUACUAGGUACUCGCCGAUAUAUCAGUUAACAAGAGAAAAUAGACUAUAUAUACAUAAGCGUGUUGUGCACGCGCAGCUUGCACUUGUAUUUCGCCUUUUUAUUUUUUUUUCAUUUGAAUGAGAGGAUAUUGUUUGGCUGUGUGCAUCUUAACUAUGCAGAGACCGGGUGUAAUGUUUAAAUCUUUUAAGUAAUAAAGCGCCCCUUUUCAAAAAAAAUGUGUAAGUUGUGCAUACAAACACAUAAGAUGGAAGAGAGAAAAGAAAAUCGGUAUUAAUGCUUCUCCAUCCGCACAUAUAUAUUUGUAAAUAAUAAUUAUGCCAGGUUCUCUUAUAUGAAUGCUUCCUUUAUAUUAUUGCCUCUUUUUUUUCCAAAAAAUGGGUUGUGAUGUUGAUCUAUGUAAAGCAGUGUGCGCAGAAGUUGGAUAGUGGAAAGAUGGCCAUGCUGGAAAAAAUCACAAAGUGAAAAGAAAAAUGAUUUCUGCUUUCAAAUUAUCAUAAUAAAAGUUGUUAAUCUCCACUACCCAGAAGAACCAAGAAAGAAUUCCUUAUUUAAACCGUUUUAAAUUUUGUUUCCCUAUUUGACACCGACAAACUUUUUCUUCCUUAUCUAUCCCUGAGUCUAAAUUUUAUUCCCUUUAUAACACUUCUAUCCAUUUUCUCGUCUAACACUGUUAAAUUGCAUGUAAAAAGACAUUUUUGUCCUCACGUAAUACUAUGAACCAAUUGCCUAGCCCGGUCAUUUCGAAAAGUGCAAUUUAUACGAAUAUUCGGGUAUGUACAUUCGCUUGCCGGCCUCAUGAGUGUGUCUCGUGAGGCGUCUGCUAAUCAUCUGGCAAAUCACGUUUUAGCGCGCAUCCGGGAUAGAAAACAGUCGCUCCUAGUCCGUAGGCACAUGCAGUGGCGGCAGAGACCUGUGGCGUGGCAUAUAAAACAGUCUUUCCUGAUCCCUACUCACAUCCAGUGUGGGGGAUGCCUGUGCUGCAUGUAUUCGAAUUUUCAAAGGAAAAAAUCUCAUUGACUGGCAGCAUAUGCUUGCGUUGCAUGCAAAGCCUCACAAAGAAACACACACACACACAGUGGCAGCGCUAGCAGUAGAGAAAGGCAGCCGUCAUUCACAGCAUGCCGCACUAGUUAAAUGCACGGUUGCCAAAUUUACAAGUACUUACUUGUAGAAUUCAAGUGAUUAUUGGUAAAUUACAGAAACACAUCACAUCAAAUUUUAUUUUUUACAGAAACACAUGUCGGUCAGCCCUAUAGCCUAGCCUAUACCGUCAUAUUGUAUUACAAAGUAUAUUUUCCCACUAAUCAAUUGAUCAGCCAUUGUAUGCGGUACAUGCAUUCCAUGAGUAAACUUUUAACCUGCACUUAGAAAAAUUGUUCGUGUCUAUAAAUAAAAUUUCUGGUUAAAUCAAAUAAGCAGGAAAAAACACAAAAAUCAAUAUCGUCAUCUAUUAAAAUUUUGGUCACAAUCCACCUGAGAGGCAAAAGGGUCUUUUUAAGUGACAUUUAACACCGUUAAGGCUUAAAAUGGACGGAAGUGUUAUAAAGGGCAUAAAAUUUAGACGCGGUAUUAUAUAAGGAAGAAAAGUAUUUUCAGUGUCAAAUAGGGAAAGAAAUUUUAAGACAGUGUUAAAUAAGGAAUUCUCUCAAGAACCAAUUGGAAAGGAUCUCAAAUAAAUCAUAGGUGGGUUUAUGCACUUCUUCAUUCAGGUUAAGUCAUCAUGGGUUGUUGAGAAAAAAAUUUAGAGCCAUGCAAGAGGUCUCAUGAGCAAGUCAAGCUAAAUAUUUAAUAUUAUUCAAUAGCCAUUAUUUCCAUUUGAGUUGUGUCCAAACUUGAAUCUUUGAGUUACUAGGUUAUUAGAGUAAGUAGAGAAUGGAAUAUAUGUAGGACCAUCAGUAUACAUGCUUCUUCUUGACUACUUAUGUGGUUAUUGAUGUCUACUAUUAUAUAAAUGAUUUAUUUCUCCUAUUGCCUCCUUUUCAAGACUGAUUUAUUUCUCUUAUUGCUUCCUUUUCAAGACAUUUUUUAACCCGGGGAACAAAAUGGCCCUACUGUAUAAUUCAUUUUCAAGAACUGCUUAUGGUCUUAAUACAAGUGCAUAUCUAUGUAUGCCUCACAAUUUUAGUGGUAACCUACUAAUUAUUUAUUAUUUUCCCCAUAUUUGUACUAGCAUAUACAAUGUACUUUGUUUGGUUCUUUUGUAGAUUAAUGGUACCUUAUCUCAUCAACACAGUGCCUGAUGGCAUAAGUGAUACAUUGAGCAACCAUGGCAGAUGAACAUGACGUACAUGUUUUAGUAAUUUAUAUUGACAUUUAGUAGAUUUCCAUACUGCUUUAUGUGAGCAAAGUUAGAUUGUAUGAUCCAACAUUUUGGGUUUGCAUUGGUAUGUCUGCUCACACAUAUACUUACAUUUUUACAAUUUCACUAACUUGUUACUGUAGUAUCUACCUCACUGAAAGUGCAACUAUCCCUAGGUGGUUUUGGUAAUUCAUAACAACAUAUAGCUCAUUGAGCUAAUAUUAUUCCAAGACAAUUAUUUCAGGGAAGCUCAAUGAUUGGCAUGGCAUGGAUGUGAAAGUGGAACCCUCAAAAUGCUAAGGACAAUGGAUUGGCUCAAGCUCAAAAGCUCAAGACUCUUCAUUUUAUAUUUUAGUGAUCCAAGAUCACAUUGAGUCCAUAGGAAAAGCCAAUACUAUUAAGGAGGGAUGAGGUGUUGCUUAAUGAGCCUCUUUCUUCAUGUGCUUAGUGAUAUGCUCCAAAAACCCUCAACUACUUUCCCAUAUCCACAUAUGACCUAAACUCUAAGCCAAACUCGGUCCUACCGAUUCUUCCUAUCCGGCGCCACCGAGUUUCACUUGUCAUUAGCCACUGCCAAACCCUAGCAAUUCGGUUCUACCGAUAAGGAUCUCGGUCCCACCGAGAUGGGGUUGCAAACUCUCUGUUUCCCUUUCGUAACUUUUCGGUCCCACCGAAAGAGCGAAUCGGUCCCACCGAGAUUGCAAUGUAAACUCAGUGUUUCCCCUUUGUAACUUUUCGGUCUCACUGAGUUCCACUCGGUCUCACCGAAAGAGCAAAUCGGUUCCAUCGAGUUUUCCUAACCAACUCUUUGGUUAGCUAAUUACCAAAUUCGGUCUCACCGAGUUUGUGUAAUCGGUCUCACCGAGAUUACGUUAUGCCCAAAUCCUAACCAAAUCGGUCCUACCGAGUUGCAUGUCAGUCCCACCGAAAUUCCUAACGGUCACUAGGUUUACUAUUUCGGUCAGACCGAGUUUUCUGAUUCGGUCCCACCGAGAUUGGUAAAUUGUGUGUAACGGUUGGAUUUUGUGUGGAGGCUAUAUAUACCCCUCCACCUCUUUCUCAUUCAGUGAGAGAGCCAUCAGAACACACAUAUCAUUCCAACUCAUUUGUUCUGAGAGAGAACCACCUACUCAUGUGUUGAGACCAAGACAUUCCAUUCCUACCAUAUGAAUCUUGAUCUCUAGCCUUCCCAAGUUGCUUUCCACUCAAAUCUUCUUUCCACCAAAUCCAAAUCCUAUGAGAGAGAGUUGAGUGUUGGGGAGACUAUCAUUUGAAGCACAAGAGCAAGGAGUUCAUUACCUACACACCAUUUGUUACUUCUUGGAGAGUGGUGUCUCCUAGAUUGGCUAGGUGUCACUUGCGAGCCUCCGACAAGAUUGUGGAGUUGAACCAAGGAGUUUGUAAGGGCAAGGAGAUCGCCUACUUCGUGAAGAUCUACCGCUAGUGAGGCAAGUCCUUCGUGGGCGAUGGCCAUGGUGGGAUAGACAAGGUUGCUUCUUCGUGGACCCUUUGUGGGUGGUUGCUUCUUCAUGGACCCUUCGUGGGUGGAGCCCUGUGUGGACUCGCGCAACCGUUGCCCUUGGGUGGAGCCCUGUGUGGACUCGCGCAACCGUUACCCUUCGUGGGUUGAAGUCUCCAUCAACGUGGAUGUAGGAUAGCACCACCUAUCCGAACCACGGGAAAAACAUCCGUGUCUCCAAUAGCGUUUGACUUCUCCAAACCCUUCCCAUUACAUUAUCGCAAGUUGCAUGCUUUACUUUCCGCUGCCAAUAUACUCUUUGCAUGCUUGCUUGAAUUGUGUGAUGAUUACUUGACUUGUCCUAAAAUAGCUAAAAUCUGCCAAGAACUUAAAUUGGGAAAAUGUUAAGUUUUUAUUUGGUCAAGUAGUCUAAUCACCCCCCCUCUAGACAUACUUUCGAUCCUACAAGUGGUAUCAGAGCUUUGGUCUCCAUUUGCUUGAUCUCCAUAGCUUUUGGUGGUCAUAGACUUGGUUUCACAACCUAGGAGAGUAUGGCGUCUAGCGAGGGAAAUUAUCACCGUAGAGGUCCUUACUUUGAUGGUACUAAUUUUGCUAGUUGGAAGCAUAAAAUGAAAAUGCAUAUUCUUGGACAUAACCCCGCUAUUUGGGCUAUUGUGUGUGUUGGUUUGCAAGGUGACUUCUUUGAUGGGAAAGAACCAAACCAUGAGGCUACCGCGGAUGAGUUGAAGAUGUUGCAAUACAAUGCUCAAGCUUGUGAUAUUCUCUUCAACAGAUUAUGCCCAGAAGAAUUCAACAAAAUCAGCCGCCUUGAGAAUGCAAAGGAAAUUUGGGACACUUUGAUUGAUAUGCACGAAGGUACCGACUCCGUCAAGGAAUCCAAGUUGGAUGUGCUUCAAAGCCAACUUGACAAGUUCGAGAUGAAGGAUGGUGAAGGUGUCGCUGAAAUGUACUCUAGGCUUGCUCUCAUCACAAAUGAGAUUGCCGGCUUAGGAAGUGAAGAGAUGACCGAUAGAUUCAUCAUCAAGAAGAUCCUAAGAGCCUUGGAUGGAAAAUAUGAUACCGUGUGCACAUUAAUCCAAAUGAUGCCCAAUUACAAAGAUCUCAAGCCAACGGAAGUGAUUGGAAGAAUUGUUGCUCAUGAGAUGUCACUUAAGGAUAAAGAGGAACUUCACAACAAGUCAAGUGGUGCCUAUAAAGCCUCAUGUGAAGCUCCUACAUCAUCAAGUGAGAAACAAGACUUCAAUGAAGAAUUGAGCUUAAUGGUGAAGAACUUCAACAAGUUCUACAAGAGUAGAAGCAAAGAUAGAAGCUCCAAGUCAAGGUCCUACAAUGACAAAAGAUCUUCUAGUCCAGAGAGAAACUUCUACAAUUGUGGAAGACCCGGACACCAUUCCAACGAGUGUACGGCUCCCUACAAGAGAAGAGAAGAUUCUCCAAAAAGAAGAAGCAAAGGAUCACCACCAAGAGAGAGAAGGAGUAGAGAUGAUCGUUAUGAAUGAAGAUACUCACGAAGAAGCAAGGAUUCAGAAAGGAAGGAAAAAUCAUCAAGGAGCUACACAAGACGAAGACAUCAAGCUCAUGUUGGUGAAUGGGUAUCUGGCUCCGACUCCGACAGCCACUUCGAGAGAAGUUAUCACUCCGACUCCGAAGAUACUCAAGAUGAAGGUGUUGCCGGUCUAGCACUUGUGUCAACCAACUCCUACGACAUAUUUGACUCACCAAAUGAAGGAAUUGGAAGAUGCUUCAUGGCCAAAGGUCCUAAGGUAACACACCCCGAGUAUGUUGAUUUCAAUAGUGAUGAAGAUGACUUGUUAGGUGAUGAUUUGAUUGGUGACAACUCUAGUGAUGAAUACUAUGAUGAAAAACCAAUUAAUCAUGCUAAUCAAGAUAAAACGAAUGACAAUGAUAAGGAGAAGAUUGAGGCUCUAACUAAAGAACUAAAAACUCUUAAGUUAGCUCAUGACACUAUCUUCGGAGAUCAUCGAGAACUUUUAAGAGCUCAUGAGAAGCUACGCUUUGAAAAGCUCAAUCUUGAGCAAGAGCAUGAGUUCUUAAAGGCAAUCAAUGAUGAUCUCCGCAAGAAAAGUUCUUCUUACAUUGCCAAGCGUUUACUCUUAUCCACUUACAUGCCUCAAGUCAAAUCUAACAAGAAAGAUUCUUCCGCUAGUAGUAACAAUGAUCAUGCUAAAUCCAAUAUUGUUGCUUCUAGUAGUUCUUUUGAUUCCACUAAUGAUUCUCUUAGCCAAGUUACACUUGAGCAAGAAAAUAGCUUAUUGAAGGGAAUUAUAGAGAAAGGAGUGUACAAAAGCCUUGCCGGGAGUAAGCAAUUCGAGGAAAUUGUGCGCAAGCAAGGAAUGCACCGAAAGAAUCAAGGUGUUGGUUUUGAAUGAAAGUUCAAUGCCAAUGGAGUUGAAUGGGAAGAAGAUCAAUACCCCAAGACAAAGUUUGUCCCUCAACAAGAGAAGUAUACUUCUUUCAAGGGGACACAAGCUCAAGAUGAUCUUCCACCACAAGACUACGAGCAAAAAGGCAAGGACAAGCUUCAAGAGGAAAUUGAUGCAUUUGAAGAAGCUCCUAAGACCUUAGUCAAGUGGAUUCCCAAGACUACUUCAAGUUCAACUUCAUCAAGUACGACUACAACUCCAAGGAUUCCCAUCAAGAUGACGUGGAUCCAAAAGAAGAAGAACUAGAGAGUUCUUGAGGGUGACACCGCCAACAUACUUCACUCUUAUCAUUUUGGCAAGAACAAGUGCAAUCAACUUCCACAUCUUGCACUAGUUCAAGGAGUCACAAACCCUCUUGUUGGUAAGACAAGGGACAAGGUAACCUAAAAAGUUUUCAUGGACAUCAUCUUUUGUGUGCAUCACUCUAUGUCUAUGGAUAUCCUUGUUUGUUCCUUGUGGGACUAACCCAUGUAGGUAUUGAAAGUGCAAUUCACUCAAAUGGAUAGCUCCAAGAGAUCUACAUCAACAUUGAGCAUCCACAUCUUCAAUGUCUACAUGAAGUCAUCAUCGACAAAACCCAAGGUUAGUUCAUCCCUCUUAGGGGGAUAUCACAUCUAGGGGGAGCUUUACUCUAAGACUUGAGCUAAAGCAACUCUAAAGAUGUGAACACAACAAUGCUUUAUGUAAAAGUGGUAACCCCACUUGAGCUUAAAGAUCAGUAUGACCUACGAUCAAGUGUUCUCACUUGACUCCUAAGUCAAUAUACUCAUAUAUAGAUGACCUAGUCAUCGCAAAUUGCUUGAUAGAUACUAGAAUUGGUUGUGCAUGUCUUGCCACAUAUUUCAUUUGCCAUCUUAUUGUGUGAGCAUGCUAGUUGCAUAUUUUACUCAUUCGAGGACAUCCACUUGUUGCUUUGAUUGUUCGGCUUUAUUGCCAAGUGGAUGGACAAGAAUGCCUAAGAACCUCCUCUAGCUAUCUAUGCUUUUCUCGUCUCAAACUCUAUUCAUGCUGCAUCACAAAAUUUGAUCAAGUCAGAUUCGAACCACUCUGUGUGAGGAGCGCUCGGAGUCCCCGAUUUGUCAUAGACUUAAACUUCCAAAACCUCUUUAUGAUUCUCGGUCUGACCGAUACUCCACUUUCGGUCCUACCGAGAUCAUUAAGUUGAUCUAAGUUUUCAAUCUCGGUGCAACCGAUUUGAACCUUUCGGUCUCACCGAGUUUCAGUAACUGCACGCAGUUAUGAAUCUCGGUGCCACCGAGUUGUUCCACUCGGUCACACCGACAGGGUCGGGCUAUAUAUAGUCAUGGGCAGAAUUUUGGAAAUUUCUCCGAAACCUCUUCGCCCGCGCGAUAGCCUGCUCUGCCCUCGAGGUCUCUGGAUCGUCUCCUCGCCGCCAGCAGCCUCCUGUCGCUGGUCUCCGCCGCCGUCAACGGAUUUCUGCCCCGCUGUUGCCGCCGUAGCAAGUCCACGCCAAACUAGGGUAUGGACUUGAUCUUUGUGCUAUUCCUCAAUCUGAUUCCUAGCACAUUGUGAUCAUCAUGAUUGUUGCCACGAUUGAAACACUUCUAUCCAGUCAAAACGCUUGUAGAUUAGGUUUAAUUCGAAAAUUUUAGGGUUAGGUUUCCGCCAAAACCAUCUCGGACCCACCGAGUUGAAAAACUCGGUCCCACCGAUCUGGCUUUUGCCAUUGCACAAGUGAAACUCGGUCUGACCGAGAAUAACUUAUCGGUGCGACCGAUUUUUGAAUUCAGUGAAACCCUAGCAGUCUCGGUGCCACCGAACUGUGACUUGGUCCUACCGAGUUCACUAGUUUAGGUUCCAAAACUGCUUCGGUAUCACCGAGUUUGAAAAUCGGUAGAUCCGAGAUGAUUUCAGUGGGAAACUAAAACUAAGUUUUUGGAUCAUUCUUUUUGCAAAAAUCUCUGCUUUUUGUGAUGCUCAUCCAAUCUAUCUCUUCUAUAAUCUAUUCACAGGGUCAGCAGUCAGUUUGCAGCCUGUCUGAUCAAAGUGACAGCCAGAACCUCUCAGAGCAGCAAGUUGUGAUGAGUGAGGGCACUAGCCCCUCAAGUUCUUCUGAUGAUGGCAGCAGAAGCACCCCCAGCAAUCUGCCUAAGGCUGCCACACGUCAAAGAAAGAAGAGAACGUCUGAUUCUGAAGAUGAGGACUAUGUGGCAGAGGAAGAGGCCACCUCCAAGAGAGUUGAGCCAGCUCAAGGCUCAAAGCCAGGCCUGAAAAUCAAGAGGCCAGCAGGCAGGCAACCCAUGUCAAAGGCUAGAGCUUCAACUGAGAAGCCUGCUCCCAUUGAGCCCGUUGCAGCUGAGGGCAAGAAGAGGAAAGAAAGAGUGAAGAAGACUGUAGCCAAAGUGCUUGGGAAAGCCUCCAUCAUGGUAGAAGAGGAGGAGGAAGAAGAGGCAGCUGCACCAGCGCCCAAAGCAGCCAAACUUAUGGGAGAUGCCAUAAGGUCAGGGGGAGCUGCAUCCAAGCCCAAGGAAGCACCUAAGGCUGCAUCUAAGACUAAGCCCAAGAGGAACACACGGAGCAUUCCUGCAGCUGAGAAGAACAAGGCCCCAGUGCCUGAGACUGUUGCUGAGGAUGAGGAAGAGAAUGUCCUUCGGAAGCUCAAGCCCAAGAUCCCAGACCACAACGAUGCUCAUCCUGUGGCUGAGGAUAUGAAGCUCAGGAGAGACUCAGGGCUCAGGAAAUGGAGAGAAGCAGAUCCAUAUGCUUCUAGGAGAAGGACUGCCGUGGAUUACAGAUUUCACACCAAGGAGGAACAAGAUUUCUAUGAGACUGUUUUGCUUGACAAGAAGCCAAUCGUUUGUGACAUGAGAUGGGUCGACUGGACCUAUAUCAAGGAGAAUGAAGAGUACUACCCAGGAGUAUUUGACAGCUUUAGUGCUUGUGGAGUAGCUGACUUUGUUGGGCAGAAGCUCACAACGUGGAACGAGGAACUUAUCAUGCAAUUCUACUCCACAACACACUUUUAUCCGGAUGGCAGGAUCACAUGGAUGUCAGAAGGUACAAGGUACAACUCUACUGUUGAGGAAUGGGCGAAGCUAAUCAAUGCCCCAGAGGAGCAAGCAGAUGACUUGGACAUUUAUGCCAAGAAAAAGAUGGACCACAACUCAAUGUCCAACAUGUACAAGGAGAUCCCCAAUGAAGCACUUGACACAUUCAAGUUUGGCUCAGUGCAUUGUCUGCUCUCAGGAUUGCCUACUAUCAAUUGGAUACUAAGGCACACUCUGUUGCCUAAGUCUGGAGAUCACAAGAUGAUCAGAGGUCACGCGAUCAAUUUGCUACAUGUGUUUGAUGUGCCUCAGAAAUUCAAGGUCAUGAGUCUCAUUGUGGAAACCGUUAAGAGGACAGCUGCAGAUCAGAAGAGGAGCUGUGGAUAUGCCCCUCAGAUUCAGGAGCUCAUCAAUUCCAAGAUGGGCACGGGCGUAUAUUUGUUGGAUAAUGAACACCUGCCCAUCCGUCCAGAUUUCGAGGACAAUGAAGUUGUGAUGACAGAGAAUGAGCCAUCGUCUGCACAAGCAUUUGCAAAGAAGGAGAAGGCGAAGAAGGAAAAAGCUGCCAGGAUGCCUACUCAAGAGGAGGCAUCUGACUAUUUCUUGAAGACCAAGCAAGAGCAGCUCGGUUACUUGAUUGCAUCCAUGCUGAGAAUUGAGCAAAGUUUGGAAAACCUCACUAAAAAUCAGCAGAGCCUAGAGAGGAUCAUGGAACAGAAGUUCUAUGACUUGGACGUCAAGGUAAUAGAAGUACAGUCUGCAGUGGAGCAGCUCCAGGAGGACAUGAAUGAGAGGAGAGGCAGGACCACGACUCAUGCUUUUUCUAGAGUGCCACGAGGCCCGAGGUCGUCUGCCGUGCCAGUUGCUGACACUAGAGCCACCACUUCAGCACUAGCUAUAGCCUCAGCUCCAGCAUCUACUUCAGCUCCAACUCCAGCGACUACUUCAACAUCUACAGAAGCCUUCGUCCUUGGAGUGAUCCGGACUCCACCACCUGUCACAUCCCUAGUUCUGGCCUGUCCUAUGCUUGCUUCCAUCUGAGCAUCAUGUUUAAAUUUUUGAAACCUGAACUGAGGAGGUCAGAAGCCUCAAAACCCUAAAUAAAAGAAGGGCAAAACCCCUAAAAUCUCAUUCAUUGUUCCAAAAUGUUCUUCUUAGAUGUUUAAUAUUUUUGGCAAGGGUUUUGAUCUAAACCAAAAAUAAUGAACAUUUUUAAGGAUUUAUUUUUGGGACUUUGAAUUUAAUUCAUUAGCUAUUUGAAUUUGAAUUAUAUUCAUAUAAUUAGAAUAUAAUUUCAAAUAUCCCUGAAUUAUUUUAUAAGCUUAUGGAAAAGUCCAUCUAGCAAUAUAAAAUAUUCAGAGGAGUUUUUGGCAUUGUUUGAAUUAUUUUGAAUUCAAAACAGUGGCAAAAUAAAUUAAAUAAAACAAAGCAGAAGAAAAAAAUAAAACAGAGCAGAAAGCCACCUGGGCCACUUACCCGCAGCCUACCUGGCGCCACCAACCGGCCCAGCCGGCCCAGCCCGCCACCGCUACUUCCCCUCCCCUGUCGUCUUCCUCUUGCCAGUGGGAGCAGCUGCGUGCUCGCACGCGCGCGGCCGAGGAGGCCACCUCCUCCCUGCCUGGCUGCCUCCUCCUUCCCUGGUCCCUCCCGCGACGCCACGCAGCCCCGACCCCUUCUCACUUCUCCCUCGCUCUCUGGACCUCCCUCCCCCUCGCUCUCUCCCUCUCCCUUGUUUCUCUCCUCUGCUUCCUCUCUCUCACUCGCCCGAGCGCAGCCGCAGCCGCGCCACCGUAACGCCGCGGCCACCGUCUCCCCCUCGACCCCUCGUUGUGCUUGCGAGCUCCGCCUCGACCCCCUCUUCCUCCCCACCGAUCCACGGCCCUCCGGAAGCCCUGCAUCGCCGCCCACGUCGCCGUUCCCCUCCUCGGCCACCGGAGAUCGUCGCCGUCGAUUCGCUGCACUCCGGCCGCCCCCGAGCCCACUAACCCUCCCUACAGCUCCGCGGUGAGCCUCCGUGCAGAACCCCUCUCUCUCCCCUCGCGUUUGCGAGCUCUAGGCCAUAGCUCCGCCGCGGCCGAACUCCGGCCGCCGCUGACCUCGUCACCGCCGUCACUACAGCCGCUUGAGCUCGUCUCGGAGCGUGUCACCGCACUCAGGAAGCCACCAGGAGCCUAACGCAUAUCCUAACUCGCCCUUCCGUGCACCACAGCGCCAACCCCGCACUCACCGAACUCCGGCGCCGCCGCGAGCUCGAUUCCGGCGAGCCCGUUCGACCUCAGCCCCUCCCGCUUGCCUAGAUGGAUGCGGCUGAGCGCCAGCUACGCGUAGAUGAUCGCUGCCGCUGUUUUGGUCGCCGGAGGAGGAAUUCCGACCCCCUCCGCCGUCUCUGACUCCGCCGGCGACGAGCCGCGGGUCAACUCCGGCGAGUUGACCCGGGGUUUGACCCCCCUGACGUGUGGGCCCAGGCGCCUGCUUGAUUAGUGUUAGAUUAGUUAGCACUAAUUAACCUAGCUAAUUAGGUAGGCCACUGACAUGCGGGCCCCGCCCGGCUAACUAAGUUAGUUAGGGCUAACUAACUUGGUUAGUUGACUGGGUCACUGACCAGUGGACCCCACUGGUCAGGUUUGACCUGGUCGACGCCUUUGACCUGCUGACGUCACCCCGGCGUCAUGCUGACGCAAUAUUCCUUUUCUAGAAUUUAGUUUAUUUUAUAAAUAAUCAGAAAAUCCAGAAAAUUGUAUAAACUUCUAAAAUUCAUAGAAAUUCAAUCGUAACUCCAAAUUAAAUAAUUUAUAUAUGAAAAAUUAUCAGAAAAAUUCAAGGAAUCCAUCUGUACCAUUUUCAUGCAUGUUAGAACAACUUAUAGCUGCUGUUUAGCACAAAUCAUAUAAAGGGCAUUUAUUUAAUCACAUAUGGAGUUUGAAUUUGAAUUUUAUAUUCAAACCAACUUCAUUUAAUCUGUUGCUAGUUGCAUUAGCUCAAAACACAUUCAUAUUGCCAUGUCAUGAGCAUGCAUCAUAUUGUGCAUUGCAUUGAUUGUGUUCCUUUCUGUGUUGCCGGUAUUUGUCCCCUCUCGAUAGACGCGAUACCGACGAUGUGAUCGUUGACACUGAUGAAGACUCAAUGUUAUCUUCAGAAGUGCCAGGCAAGCAAAACCCCCUUGUUCAUUCCGAUACAAUCCCACUCUCUCGCUCCUGCUCUCUUUUACUGCAUUAGGACAACAACGACAUAUUUGUUACUUGCUGCGGUAGCUGAACCCCUUUAUCCUUUGCAUGACCUGUCAUUGCCACAGUAAAUAGAUGAAACCCACUAGCAUGAGUAGGAGUUGUUUGAGCCCUGAUGUGCCUACUCAUUCAUGCUUGUUUGUCAUGCCUGCUACUGCUUAGAGUUGUGUCAGGUCUGAUUCAUCCGGGAUGAAUCAGAGGUGUGUGAACAUGUCCUACUGUGUGUGAGCUAAGUGUGUGAACACGAUUUGGUAAAAGGUGUCGGUGAGAGGCCAUGUAGGAGUACAUGGUGGGUUGUCUCAUUGAAGCCGUCCUCAGGAACUGAGUUCUGUGUUUGUGAUCCAUGAUUCAGCUACUACCAUACAUUGGGCCCUGAAAUAUGACCCCGCUCGACUUCUUAUUCACCCUAGUCCUCUGUCCAGGAGUUGCAAGUAGUUUCUGGUGUUUGUAGUAUGCUGGAGGCCGUGGACAGCGCUGACCGUAGGGGUGGGCUGUGAUGCGGUAGGCACGUGGCCGGGUAUACCGAGCGCCCAUUUGGUGUCACGGAACCCUGUUCACAUCGUUUGGGGCUGUGAGCGAAACUCCGGCCGGAUCUCCUCAUGGAUGGAACCCGAAUAGGCGAUAAACCUGGACUAGAGACUUGAGUGUUUAGGUAGGUCGUGGUCUACACCCACGUCGGCUUUCGCUUGAAGUCUGCCGAGCACAUGUCGUGUGCAGACGCUAAGUGGUGGAAACAUGUAUGAAGAAGUACACCCCUGCAGGGUUAACAUCAUCUAUUCGAAUAGCCGUGUCCGCGGAAAAGGACUUCUGGGUUGCUUAUAUCAGUUCAUAGACAAGUGAAAGUGGAUACUCUAAAAUACGCAAGAUAAGCGUGAGUGCUAUGGAUGGCGUUCUCGUAGGGAGACGGGAGCGGAUCCAUAGUGGUGUAUUGAUAUGGUGAAUAUGUGGACUCGUGUGCGCCACCUCAAAAGAGUUACAUUGCAGUCGUAGUUCAGGAUAGCCACCGAGUCAAAGCUGGCUUGCUGCAGUUAAACCCCACCAUCCCCUUUGUUGAUAAUGAUGCAUAUGUAGUUAGUUCUGAUGUAAGUCUUGCUGGGUACAUUUGUACUCACGUUUGCCUAUUUUAUGUUUUUGCAGAGAGACUUCGGUCUCACUAGUAGUUUCGCGUGGACUUCGACGUUUAUCUUGUUACCUCAGCUACGAUCUUGUGCCCUCGGCAGGAUCUGGUAGAUAGUCAGGCUUCUCAGCCUUUUUCAUUUCUAGAUGUCUGUACUCAGACAUGAUAGCUUCCGCUUGUGCUUUGACUUGUAUGCUCUGAAUGUUGGGUCGUGAGACCCCUGUUUGUAAUAUCUCGCUCCUCGGAGCCUAUUGAAUAAAUUACUUGAGUCGUAGAGUCAUGUUGUGAUGCCAUGUUGUAUUUGCACAUAUCGAGCAUAUUGUGUGUAUGUUAUUGAAAUGCUUGGUAUGUGUGGGAUCUGACUAUCUAGUUGUUUAUCUUUAGUAGCCUCUCUUAUCGGGAAAUGUCUCCUAGUGUUUCCACCGAGCCAUGGUAGCUUGCUACUGCUCCGGAACACUUAGGCUGGCCGGCAUGUGUCCUUCUUCGUUCCUGUGUCUGUCCCUUCGGGGAAAUGUCACGCGAUGAAUACCGGAGUCCUGUUAGCCCGCUACAGCCCGGUUCACCGGAGUCCUGCUAGCCCAGUGCUACAGCCUGGAUUCACUCGCUGAUGACCGACACGUUCGAUGCUGGGUCAUGGAUGCCUGUCCCUGUAAGUCUGUGCCACUUUGGGUUUACGACUAGCCAUGUCAGCCCGGGCUCCUUAUCAUAUGGAUGCUAGCGACACUGUCAUAUACGUGUGCCAAAAGGCGCAAACGGUCCCAGGGAAAGGUAAGGCGACACCCGUGGGGAUACCGUGCGUGAGGCCGCAAAGUGAUAUGAUAUGUUACAUGCUAGAUCAAUGUGGUACUGAGUCGGGGUCCUGACACCACCACCUGAAGAUCAAGCCUGAGCGUCGAUUUAGCACUAUGCAUUUUCUAGGAACUUUUUGGUAACUUGUUGCCAAAGGGGGAGAAGAUGUAUAGAUCAUAGGCUUCGAGAGAGAGAGAGAGUGUUGCUUUUCUCUCUUGCUUUAUUUGGUGGUUUUUCGAACCUUUUCUGCUUUUGAGUGCUUGAUGCUACGUCCUUAUGCUUGUGAGACAUCGAUGAUCAUGUGUUUGAUCAUAAGCUACACUUAAUGUUUGCUUAAUGCUUGCUUAAAUAUUACCAUUCUAUCUAUCGUUUGUGAUCAUUCACUAUUGGUGAUGAGUGCAUGUGUUUCAUUCUUAUCAUUUUGAGCACUCCACCAAGAUGUAUGUGACAUGGAAGAGUAACCCAUGACUCUAACUCUUUGUGCAUUUGCAGUCCAAAGCAAAUUUUAAAUAUGCACAAAUUUAGGGGGAGCUCUUACUUAUCACAUACUUCUCAAAGCGACGAUAUAUUUCAUGCUUAUUAUCUUUUGUCGAAGCUUUGAUCUAUAUGUUGUCAUCAAUUACCAAAAAGGGGGAGAUUGAAAGUGCAACUAUCCCUAGGUGGUUUUGGUAAUUCAUAACAACAUAUAGCUCAUUGAGCUAAUACUAUUCCAAGACAAUUAUUUCAGGGAAGCUCAAUGAUUGGCAUGGCAUGGAUGUGAAAGUGGAAUCCUCAAAAUGCUAAGGACAAUGGAUUGGCUCAAGCUCAAAAGCUCAAGACUCUUCAUUUUAUAUUUUAGUGAUCCAAGAUCACAUUGAGUCCAUAGGAAAAGCCAAUACUAUUAAGGAGGGAUGAGGUGUUGCUUAAUGAGCCUCUUGCUUCAUGUGCUUAGUGAUAUGCUCCAAAAACCCUCAACUACUUUCCCAUAUCCACAUAUGACCUAAACUCUAAGCCAAACUCGGUCCUACAGAUUCUUCCUAUCCGGCGCCACCGAGUUUCACUUGUCAUUAGCCACUGCCAAACCCUAGCAAUUCGGUUCUACCGAUAAGGAUCUCGGUCCCACCGAGAUGGGGUUGCAAACUCUCUGUUUCCCUUUCGUAACUUUUCGGUCCCACCGAAAGAGCAAAUCGGUCCCACCGAGAUUGCAAUGUAAACUCAGUGUUUCCCCUUUGUAACUUUUCGGUCUCACCGAGUUCCACUCGGUCUCACCGAAAGAGCAAAUCGGUCCCACCGAGUUUGCCUGACCAACUCUCUGGUUAGCUAAUUACCAAAUUCGGUCUCACCGAGUUUGUGUAAUCGGUCUCACCGAGAUUACGUUAUGCCCAAACCCUAACCGAAUCGGUCCUACCGAGUUGCAUGUCAGUCCCACCGAAAUUCCUAACGGUCACUAGGUUUACUAUUUCGGUCAGACCGAGUUUUCUGAUUCGGUCCCACCGAGAUUGGUAAAUUGUGUGUAACGGUUGGAUUUUGUGUGGAGGCUAUAUAUACCCCUCCACCUCUUUCUCAUUCAGCGAGAGAGCCAUCAGAACACACAUAUCAUUCCAACUCAUUUGUUCUGAGAGAGAACCACCUACUCAUGUGUUGAGACCAGGACAUUCCAUUCCUACCAUAUGAAUCUUGAUCUCUAGCCUUCCCAAGUUGCUUUCCACUCAAAUCUUCUUUCCACCAAAUCCAAAUCCUAUGAGAGAGAGUUGAGUGUUGGGGAGACUAUCAUUUGAAGCACAAGAGCAAGGAGUUCAUUACCUACACACCAUUUGUUACUUCUUGGAGAGUGGUGUCUCCUAGAUUGGCUAGGUGUCACUUGGGAGCCUCCGACAAGAUUGUGGAGUUGAACCAAGGAGUUUGUAAGGGCAAGGAGAUCGCCUACUUCGUGAAGAUCUACCGCUAGUGAGGCAAGUCCUUCAUGGGCGAUGGCCAUGGUGGGAUAGACAAGGUUGCUUCUUCGUGGACCGUUUGUGGGUGGUUGCUUCUUCGUGGACCCUUCGUGGGUGGAGCCCUGUGUGGACUCGCGCAACCGUUGCCCUUGGGUGGAGCCCUGUGUGGACUCGCACAACCAUUACCCUUCGUGGGUUGAAGUCUCCAUCAACGUGGAUGUAGGAUAGCACCACCUAUCCGAACCACGGGAAAAACAUCCAUGUCUCCAAUAGCGUUUGACUUCUCCAAACCCUUCCCUUUACAUUCUCGCAAGUUGCAUGCUUUACUUUCCGCUGCCAAUAUACUCUUUGCAUGCUUGCUUGAAUUGUGUGAUGAUUACUUGACUUGUCCUAAAAUAGCUAAAAUCUGCCAAGAACUAAAAUUGGGAAAAGGUUAAGUUUUUAUUUGGUCAAGUAGUCUAAUCACCCCCCCUCUAGACAUACUUUCGAUCCUACAAGUGGUAUCAGAGCUUUGGUCUCCAUUUGCUUGAUCUCCAUAGCUUUUGGUGGUCAUAGCCUUGGUUUCACAACCUAGGAGAGUAUGGCGUCUAGCGAGGGAAAUUAUCACCGUAGAGGUCCUUACUUUGAUGGUACUAAUUUUGCUAGUUGGAAGCAUAAAAUGAAAAUGCAUAUUCUUGGACAUAACCCCGCUAUUUGGGCUAUUGUGUGUGUUGGUUUGCAAGGUGACUUCUUUGAUGGGAAAGAACCAAACCAUGAGGCUACCGCGGAUGAGUUGAAGAUGUUGCAAUACAAUGCUCAAGCUUGUGAUAUUCUCUUCAACGGAUUAUGCCCAGAAGAAUUCAACAAAAUCAGCCGCCUUGAGAAUGCAAAGGAAAUUUGGGACACUUUGAUUGAUAUGCACGAAGGUACCGACUCCGUCAAGGAAUCCAAGUUGGAUGUGCUUCAAAGCCAACUUGACAAGUUCAAGAUGAAGGAUGGUGAAGGUGUCGCUGAAAUGUACUCUAGGCUUGCUCUCAUCACAAAUGAGAUUGCCGGCUUAGGAAGUGAAGAGAUGACCGAUAGAUUCAUCAUCAAGAAGAUCCUAAGAGCCUUGGAUGGAAAAUAUGAUACCGUGUGCACAUUAAUCCAAAUGAUGCCCAAUUACAAAGAUCUCAAGCCAACGGAAGUGAUUGGAAGAAUUGUUGCUCAUGAGAUGUCACUUAAGGAUAAAGAGGAACUUCACAACAAGUCAAGUGGUGCCUAUAAAGCCUCAUGUGAAGCUCCUACAUCAUCAAGUGAGAAACAAGACUUCAAUGAAGAAUUGAGCUUAAUGGUGAAGAACUUCAACAAGUUCUACAAGAGUAGAAGCAAAGAUAGACUCGCGCAACCGUUACCCUUCGUGGGUUGAAGUCUCCAUCAACGUGGAUGUAGGGUUUGACUUCCUGACCACGGGAAAAACAUCCGUGUCUCCAAUAGUGUUUGACUUCUCCAAACCCUUCCCUUUACAUUCUCGCAAGUUGCAUGCUUUACUUUCCACUGCCAAUAUACUCUUUGCAUGCUUGCUUGAAUUGUGUGAUGAUUACUUGACUUGUCCUAAAAUAGCUAAAAUCUGCCAAGAACUAAAAUUGGGAAAAGGUUAAGUUUUUAUUUGGUCAAGUAUUCUAAUCACCCCCCCUCUAGACAUACUUUCGAUCCUACACUCACUCAACACUUAUAGAGCACUAAAUUUGAAAGAAAAAUAAUGAAACAUUUACCACUAACAAGUCUUUCCUUAAUUACAUUAUAUUAGUUGAACCGCACAAACACAUCAAAAUGUUAAGAAAAAGGGAAAAUAUGAGUCAAGAAAAGGAAGAAGGGGGACCUGCAGGGCUGACUUUCAACUUUGGAGAUUGUUGAUGCUGUGGGGGAUGAUGACGACGUGCCCGGCUACCUCAAGCGAGAAUACAAACAAUGUGUCUGCCUUGCGCACUUGGGGAAGACAAUGUCGCCGGCAUCCUAAUACUCAAGCUAGAUCCAAGCGGACUACAGGAGACGAAAUCCACGCCCAAAUCAACUGUACGGACGCCUACAAUAACGGCACUUUGCAGAUCAAUGAUCAUGCCUCCUCCUAGCUACGGUUGAUCUUUUGGCCCUACAAUCCAUCACCAUUCAAAAUCCAAGGAGACAGAAGCAUAUGAGGAACCAUACCAGCCGCCGUCGACGGGUACACUAUAGAAGCACCAUGGGAGCUAUUCGGCAGCAGCAAUUUUGGAGUGACCAGAGAGAUU